RNAcentral lists this long non-coding RNA (344 nucleotides) under Gossypium raimondii (Peruvian cotton). RNAcentral's name for it is "long non-coding RNA (GRAI_LNC008013)". The record is from RNAcentral. Lineage: Eukaryota; Viridiplantae; Streptophyta; Magnoliopsida; Malvales; Malvaceae.
UUUUGGAGUGGAAAGGAGAAAGGAUGGAGGUUAAUUGACGGUAGGCGGAGGCGUCCUGGAGGCGGAGUUUGACUUCGACUUCCAUUAGGGGGAAAGGCCGAUGCGUUGAAGUUUGGAGGAGGGGUUAGGGUGGGAGCGAUCGAGGAGGUGGAGAAGGGAGGAAGAAGAGGUGGCGUUGGCGGUUGAGGGAGGAGGAGGAGAGGGUUUGCGGGAAUCUUCGAGUUCUUGCUUGUCCUCGAGCUUGACUUCGAUUUUGGAGGGUUUUCUUCUAAGCAUUUCCUUGGACUUCAAAAAGAGUUAGAAGAAUAAUGCGAUUAGGUUUACUGCAUUCUCUUGUUUCGAAU